CGUGUAGGCGGUCCGCUAAGUCUGAUGUGAAAGCCCGGGGCUCACCCCCGGAAGUGCAUUGGAUACUGACGGACUCGAGUCCCGGAGAGGAGGGUGGAAUUCCUGGUGUAGCGGUGAAAUGCGUAGAUAUCAGGAGGAACACCGGUGGCGAAGGCGGCCCUCUGGACGGUGACUGACGCUGAGACGCGAAAGCGUGGGGAGCAAACA
RNAcentral lists this ribosomal RNA (207 nucleotides) under uncultured bacterium. Its description in RNAcentral is "partial 16S ribosomal RNA". It matches the Rfam family "Bacterial small subunit ribosomal RNA", at positions 568 to 774 of the family's 1533-position model. The record is from RNAcentral.